CCACGGAUGGCGCUGAAGUCAUCAUAAUAUUAAAUAAAUAUUAUUUAUCACUUUAUAAAAUAAGAAUAAAUAAUGGAAUAGUCAGUUUUGCAAUGACAUAACCUCAAAUAAAAAGUGCUCUGUCAAAGAAAAGGUACAUAAGUAAAGUCUGGUUGUCUUUGUCAUCAGAUGCAAAGUUAAAAUAUACUUUAGAGUGUUAGCUUAUAUAUUUACAAGUAAGAUGUUUAAAUAAAGAUAACAUUCUUGAAGACUGUAAACAAACGUGGGGUAUGCAAGAAGUGAUACAAACAGUAGGACCUUAUUUCAAUUUCAAAUUAAAAUCCAGUAAGAAGUACUAUAUGCACAUAUUGCGAAGCUUCAAUCUAAGGUGAAAAGGCUUAAGAAAAUGAUUGAAGAGAUUGUUUCCUUUAUAAGUGGUAUUAUUUCAAGUUCAUUUUGUUACAUAUAAUUAUAAUAUGUAAUUUAGUAUUGUGUAUUUUUAAUUAAACAUUAAAGUAGGAGACUUUGUAAUGCAAUUAAAGCUAUUGAAAGGAAAAGUAGUAAUAUAGACAGUACGAUUGAAUAACAUAGAACACCUCACAGAGAAUUCUGUUAUAUUUUUAUAUGAAUUAUUGUUUAAAUAAUGUAAUUGUAAAUCUAACAAAAGGAUUACAAAGAAAUAACAAUUAACUCAUUGUUAUUAUCACAUAUAAACUGUCCAUAAAAUACCCAAGUAUAUUAGAUCUCAUAUAAUGCAUAUU
Molecule: long non-coding RNA, 740 nt
Organism: Nomia melanderi (Alkali bee)
Lineage: Eukaryota; Metazoa; Arthropoda; Insecta; Hymenoptera; Halictidae
Source: RefSeq, a predicted model, not a curated record